GACGAACCGUGCGAACGUUGUUCGGAUUCACUGGGCUUAAAGGGCGCGUAGGCGGGCUCGCAAGUCAGGGGUGAAAUCCUCCGGCUCAACCGGAGAACAGCCUUUGAUACUGCGAGCCUCGAGGAAGGUAGGGGCAUGUGGAACUUCCGGUGGAGCGGUGAAAUGCGUAGAUAUCGGAAGGAACGCCGGUGGCGAAAGCGACGUGCUGGACCUUUUCUGACGCUGAUGCGCGAAAGCCAGGGGAGCAAACGGG
Molecule: ribosomal RNA, 253 nt
Filed under: uncultured bacterium
Lineage: Bacteria
Description: partial 16S ribosomal RNA
Rfam family: Bacterial small subunit ribosomal RNA
Source: RNAcentral